GCUCAAAUUUGAAAUCUGGCCUUCGGGUCCGAGUUGUAAUUUGUAGAGGAUGCUUUUGGUGCGGUACCUUCCGAGUUCCCUGGAACGGGACGCCAUAGAGGGUGAGAGCCCCGUACGGUUGGAUACCUAGCCUCUGUAAAGCUCCUUCGACGAGUCGAGUAGUUUGGGAAUGCUGCUCUAAAUGGGAGGUAAAUUUCUUCUAAAGCUAAAUACCGGCCAGAGACCGAUAGCGCACAAGUAGAGUGAUCGAAAGAUGAAAAGCACUUUGAAAAGAGGGUUAAAUAGCACGUGAAAUUGUUGAAAGGGAAGCGCUUAUGACCAGACUUUUGUCCGGCGGAUCAUCCGGUGUUCUCACCGGUGCACUUCGCCGGGCUGAGGCCAGCAUCGAUUUCUGUAGGGGGAUAAAGACUUCAGGAAAGUAGCUCCCUUCGGGGAGUGUUAUAGCCAGUUGUGUAAUACCCCUAUAGGGAUCGAGGUUCGCGCAUCUGCAAGGAUGCUGGCAUAAUGGUCAUCAGCGACCCGUCUUGAAACACGGACCAAGGAGUCGAACAUUUAUGCGAGUGUUUGGGUGUUAAACCCUCACGCGUAAUGAAAGUGAACGGAGGUGAGAGCCCUUACGGGUGCAUCAUCGACCGAUCCUGAUGUCUUCGGAUGGAUUUGAGUAAGAGCAUAACUGUUCGGACCCGAAAGAUGGUGAACUAUGCGUGGAUAGGGUGAAGCCAGAGGAAACUCUGGUGGAGGCUCGCAGCGGUUCUGACGUGCAAAUCGAUCGUCAAAUCUGCGCA
RNAcentral lists this ribosomal RNA (785 nucleotides) under Creosphaeria sassafras. RNAcentral's name for it is "partial large subunit ribosomal RNA". It matches the Rfam family "Eukaryotic large subunit ribosomal RNA", at positions 107 to 917 of the family's 3401-position model. The record is from RNAcentral. Lineage: Eukaryota; Fungi; Ascomycota; Sordariomycetes; Xylariales; Xylariaceae.